AAAAAAAGAAAAGAGGGAAAAAAACCAACAGAUUGCAAAGUAUUGGAAGUCACAACCCUCAUCCAGAACACAGAAAAUGCAGUUUCAAGUUCUGCUCUCAAGAGGCUGCAGAAGUACCAGUUAGGUGGCUGCUCAGGGAUGGCUUCUCUUGGUUGGUGGAAUUGAUGCCAGUUACACAAAGGAAAAUGAACUGCACAGAACAGACUGUGGGGGGCUGACAUGUAUGGCCCAUCCUGCUGGAGAGGAACUGAGAAACAGCUCCAUUACAGCUGAGAACACCCCACAAGAGCCAACAGUGGUGCAGUACAGCAUUUAAUUAUACACAAAGAAAACAGUAAAGCAGAAUGCCUUAGAUCCAGAUUUCCUCUCUUUCAGAACUCUGUCCUUCCUAUUGGGCUACACUCUUCUUGGAGGUGCUCUGUUCAUGUGGCUUUUAAAAACUGUACUUUCAAAACAGGGUUAUCCAAGAAUAUUUUAAAACCUGAAAAAAUUCCAUCACAAAGCAGGGAAACAAAGGCAUGGUCCAGCCUGUGCUAGAACAUAUGGCAUCUUUUAUGGGAGAUUUUUUUGUGCUGGGAGACAGUGACAAAGUAGGUAUGUUGAACGCCAAAGAAUCUGCUUGUAAGCUUCUUCCCCACAAGGUGGCAAUAAAUGCUACAUGGUGAAAUAUAUGUGAUUGCAGAGAUUGGUAUUAACACCUCAAAAGUCAUGCCAAGCAGUCAUACCUCAGAGUAACAAACUAAAUCUGGAAAAGAAAGCUGUUCCAUGGAUAUAGACUAAUUCUGAGACUGACCUAACUCAUUUUGUGCACUUUUUCGGGACUGAAAAUAAAAUUACUUACAUAAUAAGUCCUCUAGGAUCUGCAAAUACUGAAGGUUAAAAGGUCAUCAGAGAAACUCUGAGACAUUCUCUUUAUCACUUUGAGAAUUAAGAAAGAGGUAUGAAUUUGAGAUAUAAAAGAAAGAAGAACUAACUAAAAAAAUUAAGAGCUGUUUGCAGACAGGAAUUGAAAGUGCCACUCACCAGCACAGAAGAACUUCUGCAGUGAAAUUGGGGAAGGGAAGAAAAGAAGGAAAGGAAAGAAAUCCCUGGUUGGCAUGAAUGUGAUAGGACGAAGACAAAGCAAAAAAGAAACAUCCAAACAAAAAAACAAGCUUGGAACUGUAGGAACAAAGAGAGACUAUGGUGGGAUAAAGCAUUUGUAUUUUAAACAUUAUGUUACCUGGUUAGAAAUGAAUUCAUUUGCUGAAGACAUAGAAUGAGUACCUUUGUUUUCAAAUCUUCAUUUAUCUGAGCAGCCACCUGAAGAUUCUGCUCAAACAUCUAAGACAAAAAUAGUUUAAUUAUAAAGAGAGGCCUUUAUCAGUGGUAAAACAAAGACAGAACUCCUGUUCUGUCAGUAGAUUCUCACUGGCACCAGCUCUACAGAUGCUUUUUGUUGGUGUUUUUUUUUCCCCAGAGAAUCCCAUUGACCAAACCAAAAGCCACUACUUUCACAAGUGUAAUUAAUAUAUUACUGGCAACCAUUAAUGCAUGCUGCAGUGUUCUCCUGAUACUGAAAACAGCUGCAUUUUUAAUUCAGCAAAACAGUACUUAAUCUCUUUAAUUCAGUAGUGCUUUGGCUUUACAGUGUAUCAAAGUUCUAGAGUCAGCUCCUGCAGUUAGUAGUGAAUAACACUACAACUCAAAUUCCUUUGCUUCUCUCGUAUAUGAAAGUAGCGAGCAACAGUAAAGUAAAGGAGCCUCUAAACCUUAGAAACACGAGCAGGUACAAGAUCUAGGUGACUUACAGGCAACUAUGUUUGAAAGGAGGCAAACUAGAAAGAAAGGAUUCAAAGCCAGGUGGAAA
This is a long non-coding RNA of Passer domesticus (house sparrow), 1849 nucleotides long. RefSeq lists it as uncharacterized. NCBI's taxonomy places the organism in Eukaryota, Metazoa, Chordata, Aves, Passeriformes, Passeridae. The transcript is spliced from 2 exons. The record is from RefSeq and is a predicted model, not a curated record.